UACGUAGGGGGCGAGCGUUGUCCGGAAUUAUUGGGCGUAAAGAGCUCGUAGGCGGUCUGUCGCGUCUGCUGUGAAAACUCGGGGCUUAACCCCGGGCCUGCAGUGGGUACGGGCAGACUAGAGUGCGGUAGGGGGGACUGGAAUUCCUGGUGUAGCGGUGAAAUGCGCAGAUAUCAGGAGGAACACCGGUGGCGAAGGCGGGUCUCUGGGCCGAUAUUGACGCUGAGGAGCGAAAGCGUGGGGAGCGAACAGG
This 253-nucleotide ribosomal RNA is filed under the name uncultured bacterium. RNAcentral's name for it is "partial 16S ribosomal RNA". It matches the Rfam family "Bacterial small subunit ribosomal RNA", at positions 524 to 776 of the family's 1533-position model. The record is from RNAcentral.